RNAcentral lists this ribosomal RNA (2364 nucleotides) under Pseudomonas aeruginosa. RNAcentral's name for it is "partial 23S ribosomal RNA". It matches the Rfam family "Bacterial large subunit ribosomal RNA", at positions 1 to 2396 of the family's 2925-position model. Lineage: Bacteria; Pseudomonadati; Pseudomonadota; Gammaproteobacteria; Pseudomonadales; Pseudomonadaceae. The record is from RNAcentral.
GUUAUAUGGUCAAGUGAAGAAGCGCAUACGGUGGAUGCCUUGGCAGUCAGAGGCGAUGAAAGACGUGGUAGCCUGCGAAAAGCUUCGGGGAGUCGGCAAACAGACUUUGAUCCGGAGAUCUCUGAAUGGGGGAACCCACCUAGGAUAACCUAGGUAUCUUGUACUGAAUCCAUAGGUGCAAGAGGCGAACCAGGGGAACUGAAACAUCUAAGUACCCUGAGGAAAAGAAAUCAACCGAGAUUCCCUUAGUAGUGGCGAGCGAACGGGGAUUAGCCCUUAAGCUUCAUUGAUUUUAGCGGAACGCUCUGGAAAGUGCGGCCAUAGUGGGUGAUAGCCCCGUACGCGAAAGGAUCUUUGAAGUGAAAUCGAGUAGGACGGAGCACGAGAAACUUUGUCUGAACAUGGGGGGACCAUCCUCCAAGGCUAAAUACUACUGACUGACCGAUAGUGAACCAGUACCGUGAGGGAAAGGCGAAAAGAACCCCGGAGAGGGGAGUGAAAUAGAACCUGAAACCGUAUGCGUACAAGCAGUGGGAGCCUACUUGUUAGGUGACUGCGUACCUUUUGUAUAAUGGGUCAGCGACUUAUAUUCAGUGGCAAGCUUAACCGUAUAGGGUAGGCGUAGCGAAAGCGAGUCUUAAUAGGGCGUUUAGUCGCUGGGUAUAGACCCGAAACCGGGCGAUCUAUCCAUGAGCAGGUUGAAGGUUAGGUAACACUGACUGGAGGACCGAACCCACUCCCGUUGAAAAGGUAGGGGAUGACUUGUGGAUCGGAGUGAAAGGCUAAUCAAGCUCGGAGAUAGCUGGUUCUCCUCGAAAGCUAUUUAGGUAGCGCCUCAUGUAUCACUCUGGGGGGUAGAGCACUGUUUCGGCUAGGGGGUCAUCCCGACUUACCAAACCGAUGCAAACUCCGAAUACCCAGAAGUGCCGAGCAUGGGAGACACACGGCGGGUGCUAACGUCCGUCGUGAAAAGGGAAACAACCCAGACCGCCAGCUAAGGUCCCAAAGUUGUGGUUAAGUGGUAAACGAUGUGGGAAGGCUUAGACAGCUAGGAGGUUGGCUUAGAAGCAGCCACCCUUUAAAGAAAGCGUAAUAGCUCACUAGUCGAGUCGGCCUGCGCGGAAGAUGUAACGGGGCUCAAACCACACACCGAAGCUGCGGGUGUCACGUAAGUGACGCGGUAGAGGAGCGUUCUGUAAGCCUGUGAAGGUGAGUUGAGAAGCUUGCUGGAGGUAUCAGAAGUGCGAAUGCUGACAUGAGUAACGACAAUGGGUGUGAAAAACACCCACGCCGAAAGACCAAGGGUUCCUGCGCAACGUUAAUCGACGCAGGGUUAGUCGGUUCCUAAGGCGAGGCUGAAAAGCGUAGUCGAUGGGAAACAGGUUAAUAUUCCUGUACUUCUGGUUACUGCGAUGGAGGGACGGAGAAGGCUAGGCCAGCUUGGCGUUGGUUGUCCAAGUUUAAGGUGGUAGGCUGAAAUCUUAGGUAAAUCCGGGGUUUCAAGGCCGAGAGCUGAUGACGAGUCGUCUUUUAGAUGACGAAGUGGUUGAUGCCAUGCUUCCAAGAAAAGCUUCUAAGCUUCAGGUAACCAGGAACCGUACCCCAAACCGACACAGGUGGUCGGGUAGAGAAUACCAAGGCGCUUGAGAGAACUCGGGUGAAGGAACUAGGCAAAAUGGCACCGUAACUUCGGGAGAAGGUGCGCCGGCUAGGGUGAAGGAUUUACUCCGUAAGCUCUGGCUGGUCGAAGAUACCAGGCCGCUGCGACUGUUUAUUAAAAACACAGCACUCUGCAAACACGAAAGUGGACGUAUAGGGUGUGACGCCUGCCCGGUGCCGGAAGGUUAAUUGAUGGGGUUAGCGCAAGCGAAGCUCUUGAUCGAAGCCCCGGUAAACGGCGGCCGUAACUAUAACGGUCCUAAGGUAGCGAAAUUCCUUGUCGGGUAAGUUCCGACCUGCACGAAUGGCGUAACGAUGGCGGCGCUGUCUCCACCCGAGACUCAGUGAAAUUGAAAUCGCUGUGAAGAUGCAGUGUAUCCGCGGCUAGACGGAAAGACCCCGUGAACCUUUACUGUAGCUUUGCACUGGACUUUGAGCCUGCUUGUGUAGGAUAGGUGGGAGGCUUUGAAGCGUGGACGCCAGUUCGCGUGGAGCCAUCCUUGAAAUACCACCCUGGCAUGCUUGAGGUUCUAACUCUGGUCCGUGAUCCGGAUCGAGGACAGUGUAUGGUGGGCAGUUUGACUGGGGCGGUCUCCUCCUAAAGAGUAACGGAGGAGUACGAAGGUGCGCUCAGACCGGUCGGAAAUCGGUCGUAGAGUAUAAAGGCAAAAGCGCGCUUGACUGCGAGACAGACACGUCGAGCAG